UCUCAUUGGUAGUGAGCAAGGCCUGAGG
RNAcentral lists this non-coding RNA (28 nucleotides) under Rattus norvegicus (Norway rat). Lineage: Eukaryota; Metazoa; Chordata; Mammalia; Rodentia; Muridae. The record is from RNAcentral.